AGAGUUUGAUCAUGGCUCAGGACGAACGCUGGCGGCGUGCUUAACACAUGCAAGUCGAGCGGUAAGGCCCCUUCGGGGGUACACGAGCGGCGAACGGGUGAGUAACACGUGAGCAAUCUGCCCUUCACACGGGGAUAACCACCGGAAACGGUGGGCUAAUACCCGAUACGACCACUUCAGGCAUCUGAUGGUGGUGGAAAGUUCCGGCGGUGGAGGAUGAGCUCGCGGCCUAUCAGCUUGUUGGUGGGGUAAUGGCCUACCAAGGCAACGACGGGUAGCCGGCCUGAGAGGGUGACCGGCCACACUGGGACUGAGACACGGCCCAGACUCCUACGGGAGGCAGCAGUGGGGAAUAUUGGACAAUGGGCGAAAGCCUGAUCCAGCAACGCCGCGUGAGGGAUGACGGCCUUCGGGUUGUAAACCUCUUUCAGCAGGGACGAAGCGCAAGUGACGGUACCUGCAGAAGAAGCACCGGCCAACUACGUGCCAGCAGCCGCGGUAAUACGUAGGGUGCGAGCGUUGUCCGGAAUUAUUGGGCGUAAAGGGCUCGUAGGCGGUUUGUCGCGUCGGGAGUGAAAACUCAGGGCUUAACCCUGAGCCUGCUUCCGAUACGGGCAGACUAGAGGUAUGCAGGGGAGAACGGAAUUCCUGGUGUAGCGGUGAAAUGCGC
Molecule: ribosomal RNA, 670 nt
Filed under: uncultured bacterium
Lineage: Bacteria
Description: bacterial SSU rRNA
Rfam family: Bacterial small subunit ribosomal RNA
Source: RNAcentral